UUUAAAUGGCCGCAGUACCUUGACUGUGCUAAGGUAGCAUAAUCAAUUGGCUUCUAAUUAAAGUCUGGAAUGAAAGGAAGUAUGGGGUAAUUCUGUCUUAAAGGAUUUUUUUUGAAUUUAUUUAAAUGAUGAAAAUAUCAUUUUGUAGAAAAAAGACGAGAAGACCCUUAGAGUUUUUAUAUUUUUUAUAUUUUUGUUGGGGCGACAGGUAAACAAAUAAACUUUACGAAAUAUUAAAUCGAUUUUUUAAUAAGAAUAAUAAAACUACCUUAGGGAUAACAGCAUUAUAUUUUUUUAUGAUUGUGACCUC
RNAcentral lists this ribosomal RNA (310 nucleotides) under Biomphalaria intermedia. RNAcentral's name for it is "partial 16S ribosomal RNA". Lineage: Eukaryota; Metazoa; Mollusca; Gastropoda; Planorbidae. The record is from RNAcentral.